UGGGGAAUUUUGCGCAAUGGGCGAAAGCCUGACGCAGCAACGCCGCGUGUGUGAUGAAGGUCUUUGGAUUGUAAAGCACUUUCGACCGGGAAGAAAACCCGUUGGCUAACAUCCAACGGCUUGACGGUACCGGGAGAAGAAGCACCGGCUAACUCUGUGCCAGCAGCCGCGGUAAUACAGAGGGUGCAAGCGUUGUUCGGAAUUAUUGGGCGUAAAGCGCGUGUAGGCGGCGUGACAAGUCGGGUGUGAAAGCCCUCAGCUCAACUGAGGAAGUGCGCCCGAAACUGUCGUGCUUGAGUGCCGGAGAGGGUGGCGGAAUUCCCCAAGUAGAGGUGAAAUUCGUAGAUAUGGGGAGGAACACCGGUGGCGAAGGCGGCCACCUGGACGGCAACUGACGCUGAGACGCGAAAGCGUGGGGAGCAAACAG
RNAcentral lists this ribosomal RNA (427 nucleotides) under uncultured bacterium. Its description in RNAcentral is "bacterial SSU rRNA". It matches the Rfam family "Bacterial small subunit ribosomal RNA", at positions 355 to 775 of the family's 1533-position model. The record is from RNAcentral.